GAUGAACGCUGGCGGCGUGCUUAACACAUGCAAGUCGAGCGAGAAGUUUUGAAAAGAUUCUUCGGAUGAAAUUUAAAAUGGAAAGCGGCGGACGGGUGAGUAACGCGUAGGCAACCUGCCCCAUACAAAAGGAUAGCAUUUGGAAACGAAUAUUAAUACCUUAUGAAACUUAACUAGUGCAUGCUAGGUAGGUCAAAGAUUUAUCGGUAUGGGAUGGGCCUGCGUCUGAUUAGCUAGUUGGUGAGGUAACGGCUCACCAAGGCGACGAUCAGUAGCCGACCUGAGAGGGUGAACGGCCACAUUGGAACUGAGACACGGUCCAAACUCCUACGGGAGGCAGCAGUGGGGAAUAUUGCACAAUGGGGGAAACCCUGAUGCAGCAACGCCGCGUGAACGAUGAAGGCCUUUGGGUCGUAAAGUUCUGUUCUAGGUGAUGAAAACUGACAGUAACCUAGGAGAAAGCCCCGGCUAACUCCGUG
This 479-nucleotide ribosomal RNA is filed under the name uncultured bacterium. RNAcentral describes it as "partial 16S ribosomal RNA". It matches the Rfam family "Bacterial small subunit ribosomal RNA", at positions 28 to 507 of the family's 1533-position model. The record is from RNAcentral.